UUAAUUGAAGCCAAAUUAGAGGCUUACCACUGUUAAUGGUAGAUAGGCCGACGCCCUUUUAAU
RNAcentral lists this transfer RNA (63 nucleotides) under Cryptopygus antarcticus travei. Its description in RNAcentral is "tRNA-Asn". The record is from RNAcentral. Lineage: Eukaryota; Metazoa; Arthropoda; Collembola; Entomobryomorpha; Isotomidae.